Molecule: long non-coding RNA, 359 nt
Organism: Polyodon spathula (Mississippi paddlefish)
Lineage: Eukaryota; Metazoa; Chordata; Actinopteri; Acipenseriformes; Polyodontidae
Exons: 3
Source: RefSeq, a predicted model, not a curated record
ACUAGAGGACUGAUGGUGAUGGGCGGAGUUUCAAAUGACGCUAGGAAGUAAAGGGAGCAGCAGCGAUGGAGACUGAAGCCGGAUCUUGAAACACCCUCGCGUCCAAGUCGUGCCAGAUUAAGUCGAUCGAACCAGACUUUACGCACCAAUCUGACCGCGGUGUCAGGAGACAGUACGUCAGUUUCCCACAGUUGUUUAAAAUCCAGGCAGAUGGACUGCUGACUUCCUUCAGAAAGUUGGUGUUGUACCAGUUAUGUGGAAUUUCAUCCCCAAAUAUAGUAAAGGAAAUUGGUCAAAUGGCACUCAUUUGUGGAAGUGGUUUUGUAACUAAUAACAAAUAAAAUGGCGGUUUGUCAUGG